Long non-coding RNA from Hylaeus volcanicus, 527 nucleotides. RefSeq lists it as uncharacterized. Lineage: Eukaryota; Metazoa; Arthropoda; Insecta; Hymenoptera; Colletidae. The record is from RefSeq and is a predicted model, not a curated record. The transcript has 2 exons.
GUAACAUACACGACGGUAAGCUUUAAUUUAUUCUUCAACAGUCUGCGAUUGUAGUCCUAUCUGACAUAAUUAAUAUUUCGUACGGAGAAGAGGAAGACGAGCGAAUUUACGAACGUUGUCAGAUGUGGCACGUAAAACGAGGGAGAAGAGAAGAGAAAGAUAAGUGAUCGAAGGCGUUAGCGGAGGUUAUCGGAUUGGAAAAUGUCAAUCGAGGUUAUUCCUUUUUGGAGUGGUUUCUUUCAUUUUUUUUUUUUUUGGAAACGACUGCAAUUGUAGCGUAGUGUCGGUGAGAUACAGUGUGCGAAUCAGACUGUGAAACGUACGAUACAUUGGUUAACAAAUGAAAUUAAGACAAGUCUCUCUAUGCGAUUGGUGUAACUAUGUAUGUUUCGUCGCCUAGGUAUGAGUUAAUCUUUUGCAUUCAAGGCCUUUUCUUUUUUUUUCUCUUUUGUAGUAUGUAUCAACAACCGUAGAAUGCUUUCUUAGCUUUGUACAAUGUAAAUGCAAAGCCAUAUAUUAGCUUGGAA